GAAGGAGGCACCCACUGUGCUUAUAGGGAUGCUGUGCUGCUACUGAUACAGCAGUGUGUGAUAGGAACACUGACUAGUUGGACCAACUUCAAGUCCCACCUGAAGCAGAAAAGGGCUGCGAACUGGAAUGCUUCGAGGGCAACAGGGGCAGGGCCAGCCCCUGAGACUGUGGAGUAUACAGAUCUAGAGGAACAAGCGAUGGUCUGUGUGUCCAAUGAAGAGAUGGCAGGUGUGUCACAAAUGGACACAGACACACCUGACAUGUUAUGGCCACAUGACUUGCCAGGACACAGCACAGGAGGGGCAUCUCAAUGAGUCACAGGAGGGGCAUCUUGCUGAGGCAGUGGAAGGUAGUGACACCUCCAGUGUGGGGCAGGAUAUACCACCAGCCCAGCCACACACUGGCACCCCCACCCAACCCUCUCUCCCGUGGAUUCUGGCUUAAAUCGCCGGGCAUGGAGUUAUUAACACAGAAUUCCAUGAAGUGAUGACCCGAGAGGUACGUGAAAUGUCCUUACAGCUCACUGAUCUGACCACCUGUGUUCAGCAAGGUGUGGGUGACCUCAGGCAAGGUAUGGCCGAACUCACCUCCUCAGUCCAACAAUUAAACACCACAGUUGGACAAGGACUUUAGGCCAUCACUGGCCUUCUUGCCCACAGUGUCAGUGAGGCUCCAACACCUGGACCAUCCCCUACCCCUGCCCAGGAACAAAUUUCCACUGGGCAGGGCCCUUGAAGGUCAGUUCGCAGACCAACCAGUGAACAUCCACUUCAGGCGGGCCGUAAAAAGAAGUAAUUUCUCUCCAGAUGCGUAAACAUUUCCCAGCACCCAUGUUUCUUCAGUUCCAAAAUGGAUUAUCUAUGGCUUGUGGGACCAGAAUGCCAAACUCCCUCAUGCUGAAUGGGAAUUUGCUGGGUUCUCUUUUUGGUAUUAGCCUGUGAUGCAUUAUCCUGUGAACUUGUCCUACCUUCCUCUUCAUAUACUGGUGUGGAUAUUUGGGUUCAGGCAGGACCAUGACACCAGUUUCUUUUUGUGUUUGAUGCCCAGUAGAUGGGGGGUCUCUGACUACUGGGUUCUGUCUUCCUAAUUUCUGCACUUGCAGGUGUUUGUUGCUAUGCCAUGUUUGAUGAUUUUUUACAUUUUGGAAAAAGUAAAAGUACUUUGAACAAAUAAACUUUGUGUGGAUAUUGGGGGUAAUUCCAAGUUGAUCGCAGCAGGAACUUUGUUAGCAGUUGGGCAAAACCAUGUGCACUGCAGGGGAGGCAGAUAUAACAUGUGCAGAGAGAGUUAGAUUUGGGUGUGGUGAGUUCAAUCUGCAAUCUAAAUUGCAGUGUAAAAAUAA
Pseudophryne corroboree (corroboree frog) is the source of this 1343-nucleotide long non-coding RNA. RefSeq lists it as uncharacterized. The transcript is spliced from 3 exons. Lineage: Eukaryota; Metazoa; Chordata; Amphibia; Anura; Myobatrachidae. The record is from RefSeq and is a predicted model, not a curated record.